UCUUUUCUUUCCCUUAAUUCGUUUUUUCACGAGCCAUCCAACAUAUCAGUGAUCUUCGUCCCGUAUAAUCAAUGGUGCUAAAGAAUGGUCGAGAAUUUUCAUUUAUGGCCGUAGAAGUUAAGUUAUUUUGACAGAUUUGUUUCAUUUUUUCUCUCCUUUUCGUUUCCUUUUCUUCUCGAUUUUUUGAUUUUUUUUCCCCUUUUCAUCCUCAUUAUUAUUCUAUUUCUACAUACUGAUGGGCUCUUUGUAUUUCCUUUUUGGUUAGUAAAAAUCUUCUAAUUUAAUUAUUUGAUUCAAUGUUGCUUUCAGAUAUGCCUACUAGGUGCUUGAUGAAAUUUACAAAUGGCACAAGUUCAUUUUCUUGACAAAGUUUGACAGGUGAGGAAUAUGGUACUCCGAU
Molecule: long non-coding RNA, 400 nt
Filed under: Olea europaea (common olive)
Lineage: Eukaryota; Viridiplantae; Streptophyta; Magnoliopsida; Lamiales; Oleaceae
Description: long non-coding RNA (OEUR_LNC008514)
Source: RNAcentral